UGGUUAAGGAAGAAGGAGAAAGAAGUAUAAACUUUCUUAUAUAAUAAUUCAAAAUAUAAUUUGGGGUCCAAAUUGUUCAUGAAAUACAAUAUCAAAAUUGUUGUCUUCUACUUUACAUUCAGUUUUCCUAGAUGUGAUAGUUGGUGAAAAAAAGGGAGCAUCUAUGCUUCUAAAAACUUCAACUUUAGGUGCUUCAAAGUUUGGUCAGGAGGUAAAUUAAGUCUAGCAAAUGAUUGUUCCAGUUGGGAUAUGAACUUCUCCUAUCGAUUUGUCAAUCUCUGUGUUACUAAGCAAGGUUCCACCCAAUGGUAGUCCGCGACUAUUCAAAGUCUCGUUCUAGUUUUCAAGAUGGGACAAAAAUUUCGGCUUUUAGUUUUACAUUAUUGAAGCAUAAAACAUUUUGUAUCAUCUUAUCAUUUUGUAUGUUGGCAAAG
RNAcentral lists this long non-coding RNA (434 nucleotides) under Medicago truncatula (barrel medic). RNAcentral's name for it is "long non-coding RNA (MTRU_LNC001436)". Lineage: Eukaryota; Viridiplantae; Streptophyta; Magnoliopsida; Fabales; Fabaceae. The record is from RNAcentral.